AUAGAUUGUAACAAUAUACAAUGGUAUAGUUCUGAUAGUCGUAAGAAACAUAUCAAAAAAUGACAUCGGUUCAAUGCGUCAUAAUGUUCGCCUGUCUAUCGCUGAUCAUUGACGGAUUACCUCUGUCUCCUAAGUCUGCCACAUUCACAAGCCAAAACGAACCUUUUCAUGUUCCAUCAAAGAGAACUGAAGCCAAAGCAUUGAUACCUAUGACGUCACACAAGGAUACCCGUUCGAACUCUGUCACUAUUUACUGUAAAACACUGAAGUGUAUCGAAGAUCUGAAGUUGUUCCUGGCCACUCACCCACGAGAAGGACUGGAAUUUUUGGGUGGAAGGUGGUAGCAGAGAAACGAUGAAUAUAAUUGUGAGGGAACGUGAAUAAAACCUUUCAGAAUCUCAAUUUUCUUCCAAUACUGUGUCCUAUUUAUUGUUAUUCCAUCAACUCCUAUGUUUCAUUUAUUGAUGUGUGAUAUUUUCGCGAAAUAAAGAAAAAUCAACAUGUU
Molecule: long non-coding RNA, 505 nt
Organism: Ostrea edulis (European flat oyster)
Lineage: Eukaryota; Metazoa; Mollusca; Bivalvia; Ostreida; Ostreidae
Exons: 2
Source: RefSeq, a predicted model, not a curated record